RNAcentral lists this ribosomal RNA (479 nucleotides) under uncultured bacterium. RNAcentral describes it as "SSU rRNA". It matches the Rfam family "Bacterial small subunit ribosomal RNA", at positions 26 to 521 of the family's 1533-position model. The record is from RNAcentral.
AGAACGAACGCUGGCGGCAUGCCUAACACAUGCAAGUCGAACGCUUCCUGGGCUUCGGUCGCGGAGGAGUGGCGCACGGGUGAGUAGCGCGUGGGAACCUGCCCUGUUGUGGGGGAUAACCGAGGGAAACUUCGGCUAAUACCGCAUACGCCCCGGGACUUGGUCUUCGGAUUAGGUCUGGGGGGAAAGAUUGAUCGCAGCAGGAGGGGCUCGCGUCGGAUUAGCUGGUUGGUGGGGUAACGGCUCACCAAGGCGAUGAUCCGUAGCUGGUCUGAGAGGAUGAUCAGCCACACUGGGACUGAGACACGGCCCAGACUCCUACGGGAGGCAGCAGUGGGGAAUAUUGGACAAUGGGGGCAACCCUGAUCCAGCAAUGCCGCGUGAGUGAUGAAGGCCUUAGGGUUGUAAAGCUCUUUCGCCCGCGACGAUGAUGACGGUAGCGGGAGAGAGCCCGGCUAACUCGCGCCAGCAGCCGCGGU